CCUGGACUGGUGUAACUGGUUUAACACGGCGGAAUGAUAAGACCGCAGCUCAGGGGUUCGAGUCCCUCUGGUCCGGG
Molecule: non-coding RNA, 77 nt
Organism: Coniochaeta sp. 2T2.1
Lineage: Eukaryota; Fungi; Ascomycota; Sordariomycetes; Coniochaetales; Coniochaetaceae
Source: the annotation of a GenBank genome assembly